RNAcentral lists this ribosomal RNA (449 nucleotides) under uncultured bacterium. RNAcentral's name for it is "partial 16S ribosomal RNA". It matches the Rfam family "Bacterial small subunit ribosomal RNA", at positions 29 to 523 of the family's 1533-position model. The record is from RNAcentral.
AACGAACGCUGGCGGCAUGCCUAACACAUGCAAGUCGAACGAGAUCUUCGGGUCUAGUGGCGCACAGGUGCGUCACGCGUGGGAAUCUGCACUCUGGUUCGGAAUAACAGUUGGAAAAGAAUGACAAUACCGGAUGAUGACGAAUGUCCAAAGAUUUAUCAUCAGAGGAUGAGCCCGCGUAGGAUUAGCUAGUCGGUGUGGUAAAGGCGCACCAAGGCGACGAUCAUUAGCUGGUCGGAGAGGAUGAUCAGCCACACUGGGACGAGGACACGGCCCAGACUCCUACGGGAGGCAGCAGUGGAGAAUAUUGGACAGUGGGCGAAAUCCUGAUCCAGCAAUGCCGCGUGAGUGAUGAAUGCCUUAGGGUUGUAAAGCUCUUUUACCCGGGAUGAUAAUGACAGUACCGGGAGAAUAAGCUCCGGCUAACUCCGUGCCAGCAGCCGCAGUAA